ACGGCCACACCGGUUGCCGUAAGACCACCGAAGUUAAGCAACAUUGCACCGGGUUAGUACCUAGAUGGGUGACCGCUUGGAAAUACCAGGUGCUGUAAG
Molecule: non-coding RNA, 99 nt
Organism: Acanthosepion pharaonis
Lineage: Eukaryota; Metazoa; Mollusca; Cephalopoda; Sepiida; Sepiidae
Source: the annotation of a GenBank genome assembly